GGGGAAUAUUGCACAAUGGGGGGAACCCUGAUGCAGCGACGCCGCGUGAGUGAAGAAGUAUUUCGGUAUGUAAAGCUCUAUCAGCAGGGACGAAGAUGACGGUACCUGCAGAAGAAGCCCCGGCUAACUAC
This 131-nucleotide ribosomal RNA is filed under the name uncultured bacterium. Its description in RNAcentral is "partial 16S ribosomal RNA". It matches the Rfam family "Bacterial small subunit ribosomal RNA", at positions 356 to 504 of the family's 1533-position model. The record is from RNAcentral.